RNAcentral lists this ribosomal RNA (819 nucleotides) under Tetragnatha mandibulata. RNAcentral's name for it is "SSU rRNA". It matches the Rfam family "Eukaryotic small subunit ribosomal RNA", at positions 966 to 1803 of the family's 1831-position model. Lineage: Eukaryota; Metazoa; Arthropoda; Arachnida; Araneae; Tetragnathidae. The record is from RNAcentral.
AAUGUCAUUAAUCAAGAACGAAAUCAGAGGUUCGAAGGCGAUCAGAUACCGCCCUAGUUCUGACCAUAAACGAUGCCAGCCAGCGAUCCGGCUGCGUUCCUCAAAUGACGCGCCGGGCAGCUUCCGGGAAACCAAAGCUUUUGGGUUCCGGGGGGAGUAUGGUUGCAAAGCUGAAACUUAAAGGAAUUGACGGAAGCGCACACAAGAAAUGGGGCCUGCGGCUUAAUUUGACUCAACACGGUGCAACUCACCCGGCCCGGACACAGGAAGGAUUGACAGAUUAAGAGCUCUUUCUUGAUUCUGUGACAGGUGGUGCAUGGCCGUUUCUAGUUGGUGGAGUGAUUUGUCUGCUUUAUUGCGAUAACGAGCGAGACUCUAGCCUACUAAAUAGACUGGCGAUCCUGUUACAGUGGCCAGGUCUUCUUAGAGGGACAAGCGGUGUUCAGCCGCACGAAACUGAGCAAAAACAGGUCAGGAUGCCCUUAGAUGUUCGGGGCCGCACGCGCGCCACAUUGAAGGAAUCAGCGUGUGCUUUCCCUCUCCGAUAGGAGUGGGUAACCCGUUGAAACUCCUUCGUGCUAGGGAUAGGAAAUUGUAAUUGUUUUCCUUGAACGAGGAAUUCCCAGUAAGCAUUGAGUCAUCAGCUCGUGUUGAUUACGUCCCUGCGCUUUGUGCACACCGCCCGUCGCUAUUAUCGAUGAAUUUUGGAGUGAGAUCAUCGGACUGGCUAAGGUUCUGUGCUUAUAUGGUGUGGAGCCUGUGUUGGAAAGAUGACCGAACUUGAAUAUUUAGAGAAAAUAAAGCUCGUAACAAGGCUUC